UAACUACUCAAGCCUGUCUUGGUGUUGGGGAUUGCGAAUCUCGCAGCCCUAGAGUCCAGUAGCGUCACCUGUGGGUCCUAAGCGUAGUAAUUUCUCCUCGCUACAGAGCCUGCUCGUGGAUAGUGUAAAUCCAGUUCGGUCUGGUAUCCCGCUAUUAAACCCCCAAUUUUCAAA
Molecule: unclassified non-coding RNA, 174 nt
Filed under: uncultured Helotiales
Lineage: Eukaryota; Fungi; Ascomycota; Leotiomycetes; Helotiales
Description: sequence contains ITS2
Source: RNAcentral